GAAGUUCUACUUUCAUAUCCAUUUUCCUGAACACAAGAAAAACCACAAUAAAGCAAUCCAUGCAACGGAAUUUAGAUGUUUGAAAUAUUCUGGCCUAGAUCCUCAAGUCUGUGUUGGUUGAACACGGUGGCGGACCUACCACAGGGCUUGGUAGGUCCAAUGCCCUGGCUCAAAGCAAAAAAAAUAAAAAUUUCUUUGGACUAGAUAGGUUUUUUUGCUCCAAAAAAAUUUAGAGAAAAGACAAUUUAUAAGGAAAGACAAAGUUUAGGGACUUAAUCAUAAAAUUGCCUAGGCUUCCUAAAAAUUCUAGUUCCGCCACUGGUUGAACAUGAAAUUAAGCUGUACAAAAACAACACUAUUGGGUGAUAGAAUUGCUUUCAAACAUAUUUGACAGCUUUGAAUGGCUAACUUUUAUGCUUUAGUUUUGUUAUUAAGCUAGUAUUAGUGCUCUGACACUGGAGUGAAAAUGUGUUAGGGUUCUAAAUUUUAGUUAGUGGGCCUGUUGUGUUUGGACUUUGGACCUAGGUUUGAUUUUAUCUAUCUCUAUUUGUUAGUUUUAGUAAGGUUUGGUUUGGUAAUGAGUCUGUUUUUAUUAUUUGAGCUGUGCCUAUGUUGGGCCAGAGUCAUUUGCAUAGUAGGGUUAGUUUAUCAUAAAUAGGAGAGUAAACGGCCAUUUUGGUCCUUGAUUGUGUUCACUUAUGAUGAACCAGUCCUCAUAUUUUGGAAAUGGUCUUUUUUCAUCCCUGAAUUUGUCGUCGUCGGUCAAAUUAGUCCUUGAUUAAGUUUUCCGUUGGUCCCUCAGACGGAAAAGUCCAAAUAUCACCAUUUUUGCCACAUUGGCUUGACACAUCAUCAAUGACUCACAUCUUAUUAUGUCAAUUUAGUCCCCUAGAAAAUAAAAAUAAAAAAAUUGAAUUUAUUAAUUCAAAUUACAGAAAGUCACUUAAUCAUCAAUUCAUCAUCUUCAACCUCAUCUUCAUCUUCAUCCUCAAUCUCACCUUUUUUUCAUCAUUUCCAAAAAACAAACACAAAAUCCCCAAAUGUUCAUCCUCCAUCUUCUUAUUCUUCAUCUUCUAUAAUUCUAAAUCUUAAAAAACCCAAACCCGGAAAUUUAAAAAGCCAAACCCAACCUAACCCAGAAAUAAAAAACCCACCCCUAACCUAAAUCCCAACUCCAUAAUACAUGGCCACCCCCAUCCAUGGAUCCAGUGACGAGAGUUUGAGAUUGAAAUUGAGGAGACGCAUAGCCACCUUAUUUCUUUACAUUAUAAUUUUCUUCACAAAAUAAAAAGUCUGCAAUUGUGCAUACAUGUAGUCAUUGUAAGAGAAUCUGGGUGUAAAUUUUGGAUAAUUUGAAUUCUGGGUCUGGGUAAAGUUUCGAUCUUUUGUGAUCUAGAUGAUGUCUUCUGGGACAUCUUCGUAUUGGUGCUACAGGUACAGUCAGUUUAUGAGGGUGUGGAGACAGGACACGGUGGCUUGCCCCGAUUGCGACGGUGGGUUCAUUGAAGAGGUUGAGCAUCCGGCGGCGCGUUCUGCCCACGCGUGAUUCUUCUUCCCUUUGAUGUCGACGACGGCACCAGCAGUGUCCUCUCCUCUGCGGUUCCAAACGGAGCCAAGGUCGCUCUAUUCUCAGCGAUGGCCACAGUUCCAAACGGGUUUACUCCUUUCAGCAAUGACGUCGUUGUACUCUUCCAGCGACGGCGGCGAUGUACUCCUCCUUGGACGUCGUCGACAAAAACGGCACCAAGUUAGCCCUUUUCUCCCCUCGGCGACAACGGUGAUUCCUCUCACUACCUUUCACCACCACAGUUCUCAUACACGCCCACCACACUGGUCUCUUCCCCCUUCUACUUUUCCACCUUUUUCUGUUCUUCUAUCACUGGGUUGUUGGGUUUGAUAGGGUUGGGGGUGGCUGGAUCUGGGUGCUUCGAUCUGAAUGGGGCUGGGUUUGAAUUUGUUAAAAAUGAUUUGUUUUUGGAAAAAUUAAUCUUCUAUCAUCUGUUGUAUGUGUUUCAUUCCUCAUAGAUUCACAUUCUUAGCUUUUAAUUUUCAUCAAAUUUUACGUUGGCACACUGUUCUUCUUCCACUGUGAUUGUUAGCUUCUAAUUUCAUUAAUUUCUAUCAAUAAUCUGAUUGUUAUGCACACUAGCCUUUGCUUGAUUUUUCCCAUUUUUAUUGGUUUUCAUAUUGUUGUACCGUUCUUGGUCAUGCGUUCUUGGUUUGUUAUUGAUUUUUUUAGAAUUUCUUUACUGAAUGGUUAUGAUGAAGAUGUUGUGAAUGAAGGUGAUGAAGAUGUUGUGAAUUUAUUAAUUCAAAUUUCAGAGUUUUUAUUUUUAUUUUCUAAGGGGACUAAAUUGACUAAGGUUACAAUCUGAGUCAUUGACCACGUGUCAAGCCAUGUGGCAAAAAUGGUGACAUUUGGACUUUUCCGUUUAAGGGACCAACAGAAAACUCAAUCAAGGACUAACUUGACCGACGACAACAAAUUCAGGGACGAAAAAAGACCAUUUUCAAAGUAUGAGGACUAGUCCAUCAUAAGUGAACACAAUCAAGGACCAAAAUGGCUGUUUACUCUAAAUAGGAUUACUCUUAGGGUAUGAUUUGCAUAUUAGAUUUGUAAAAGGGUUUACCCUUGGAAGGGAUUCUCCCUAGUCCCUUCAAAGAAAGUUCUCCUUCUUGUGAAUCCAUUAGGAUUGUCUUUCCUAUCCCUCUCUUUAUCUCUUCUCUCCUUGUUUUAUUUUCCAGUUUAUAUAUUAAAAAAUACCAAAAAAUAUUCCUUUUCUCCUCCUUUUACCUUGUGGCUGAUGUUAGGGUUUCGAAAUCCUAACAAUUGGUCUGACCUUGCGGUUCCUCUGUCUUGCUGUGCUAGCCAUUUGCCGCCGCUGCCAGCCACCACUGGCAGCCUCCACUGUCGCCACCACUUGCCGAAUACCCAGCCACCACCAUGCACCUUGCUGUUCAUCCAGCCACCACCAUCCACCAUUGUCGGAUUCCCGCACACGCCCAAGCAGCACCACCGCCGCACACUGGUCAUUCACGCACGGCUCAUCAUACGCUUAUCGUUUAUACACGUUCGUUGCUGUUCUCUUCCCAGUUCUUGGCUAUAAUGGAGACUUGGAAGGCUACUGCUGAUAGGGACAUCACUGAUAUCAAGAGAAUGAUGACUGAUAUAAUGCAGCAGUUGAAAAGGUUGGAGCAUUCGAAGAGGAUGGGUAAGAAAAAUCCAGAAUUGAAACUGGAGAAUAUUCCUCUUCCACAGUGUCAAGAUGUUAUACCUUCAUACAUAGCAUUGUCCCUGAUAAUGAGAAAAACAGAUUUAGCUUUGUAAGUUUGGGAGCAACUUUUGGAGUUAAUACAAGCUAUGUUAGUGGCCCAGCAAGCACAAAGUGUUCUACAGCUCCUUCCAAAACAUCUCAAGAUUUUGAAGACAGUGUGGAGGAGCAGGACGCAAGCAGUCAAAAUGCCGUGAUUACUUUUGAGUUGCUUUGCCGACUGAAGGUGUCAAAAAAGGGACUUCUAUCACUGGCCUUAGUGGAUGAAGACGACCACUCGACGAGGAGGGGUUAACCCUCAAUGCGGAUGGAGGUAUAGGCCCAAGCUACGCGGACACAACUGCCUCCUCCAAUGCCGCCAAACAUGGACAGUGGCGCACUUGCUGAUUUGGGCAUUCACCCUGUUUGCCGCUCACAAUGAGAUCUGGGAGGAGAUUUUAUCUACCAUGAAGCGUGCAUAAAUUUACUAACUCCAACCUUGAGGACAUGGUUGAAUUUUUUGUGGGAAGUAUUGUUAGGGCUCUAAAUUAUAGUCAUUGGGCCCGUUGUGUUUGGGCCUAGGUUUGAUUUUAUCUAUCUGUAUUAGUUAGUUUUAGUAUGACUUGGUAUUGGGUUCGUUUUUAUUAUUUGAGUUGGGCCUAUGAUGGGCCAGAGUCAUUUGCUUAGUAGGGUUAGUUUAGUACAAAAAAAAAAGAAUACUCUCCUUAGGUUAGAGUGUGAUUUGAGUAUUAGAUUUGUAAAAGGGUUUCACCCUUGGAAGGGAUUUUCUCUUGAAAGAAGGUUCUCAUUCUUGUGAA
Long non-coding RNA from Lotus japonicus, 4069 nucleotides. RefSeq lists it as uncharacterized. The transcript has 2 exons. The record is from RefSeq and is a predicted model, not a curated record. Lineage: Eukaryota; Viridiplantae; Streptophyta; Magnoliopsida; Fabales; Fabaceae.